CCCUUAGAUGUUCUGGGCUGCACACGUGCUACAAUGGCAGGUUCAGCGAGCUUCAUGCCCUGAUCUGAAAGGAAUGGGAAAUCUUUUCAAAACCUGCCGUGCUUGGGAUAGAUGUUUGCAAUUAUUCAUCUUCAACGAGGAUUGCCUUGUAAGCGCACGUCAUCAGCGUGCAUUGAAUACGACCCUGUAUUCUGUACACACCGCCCGUCGCUCCUACCGAUUGAAGUUUUCGGUGAGUUGACAGGAGGAUUUUUUUGAAACUGGUUCGCCAGUGGAUUUUAGAUCCAAAUGCCAACGAAUCGAUGGCUUUAGAGGAAGGAGAAGUCGUAACA
This 332-nucleotide ribosomal RNA is filed under the name uncultured eukaryote. RNAcentral describes it as "partial 18S ribosomal RNA". It matches the Rfam family "Eukaryotic small subunit ribosomal RNA", at positions 1470 to 1796 of the family's 1831-position model. The record is from RNAcentral.